RNAcentral lists this ribosomal RNA (254 nucleotides) under uncultured bacterium. Its description in RNAcentral is "partial 16S ribosomal RNA". It matches the Rfam family "Bacterial small subunit ribosomal RNA", at positions 524 to 776 of the family's 1533-position model. The record is from RNAcentral.
UACGUAGGGGGCGAGCGUUGUCCGGAUUCAUUGGGCGUAAAGAGCUCGUAGGCGGCUGACUAAGUCAGGUGUGAAACCUCCAGGCUCAACCUGGAGUCGCCACCUGAUACUGGUCUGGCUAGAGUCCGGUAGGGGACCACGGAAUUCCUGGUGUAGCGGUGAAAUGCGCAGAUAUCAGGAGGAACACCGGUGGCGAAGGCGGGUCUCUGGGCCAAAACUGACGCUGAGGAGCGAAAGCGUGGGGAGCGAACAGG